Mauremys mutica (yellowpond turtle) is the source of this 436-nucleotide long non-coding RNA. RefSeq lists it as uncharacterized. Lineage: Eukaryota; Metazoa; Chordata; Testudines; Geoemydidae. The record is from RefSeq and is a predicted model, not a curated record. The transcript has 3 exons.
UAUUGGUGACACCGAUACCCCGGAAGAGGAGGAGCAACAGAGCAGCCUGGCCAGAGGGCCACGUCCCCACUGAAGUCCUGAUGAGGAGAGAGAGGCGGAGUCACCAAAACACUACGCCAGGCCACAAGGGGCACUCCAGGAGGGGUGAAGCUAGGAAAUGGCAGGUUCCACCGCUGAAUUCAACAAGUUGUCAUGGCAUGGAGACAGUCUACCAGCAAGCUAGCUUAACGCCUGCCUUUGACUCCUAAAAGGGCUAGGGUCUCAAGUGGACACUCAGUAGAAGCCUUUGACUGCACUGCUGCUGCAAGUUCUCUGUGCCAGGACCCACACGUGCUAAGGAACGUACGACAUGCACGCUUGCCACCACAGCCCCGCACAGACCAAGGCCAGGUUCGUCUCACUCAUUCCCUCCGGCAGAGGGCAGGUUCCGUACCUG